UUUUUUUCACAUGACUGUAGGUGGAAAGCCGACGAGUAAGAUAGACCGGUUGAGUGUAGAUUGGUAGUUUGGUGUGUAGAGUAGGAGUAAUAGACGGGUUGAGUAUAGUGGGGUAUGUUGGAGUGUGGAUGAGAACCAGUAUAGACGGAUUGGGUAUAGUGGGUAUGUUGGAGUGUGGAUGAGAACCAGUAUAGACGGGUUGAUUAUAGUGGGGUAUGUUGGAGUGUGGAUGAGAAUCAGUACAGACGGGUUGAGUAAAGUGGGUUAUGUUGGAGUGUGGAUGAGAAUCAGUACAGAUGGGUUGAGUAUAGUGGGGUAUGUUGGAGUGUAGAUGAGUAGGUGGAGUGUGGAUGAGAACCAGUAUAGACGGAUUGGGUAUAGUGGGUAUGUUGGAGUGUGGAUGAGAACCAGUAUAGACGGGUUGAGUAUAGGGGGUAUGUUGGAUUGUGGAUGAGAACCAGUAUAGACGGGUUGAGUAUAGUGGGGUAUGUUGGAGUGUGGAUGAGAACCAGUAUAGACGGGUUGAGUAUAGUGGGGUAUGUUGGAGUGUGGAUGAGAACCAGUAUAGACGGGUUGAGUAUAGGUGGAAGGUAGAAUGAGUAAGAUACACGAGAUGAGUCGGUAG
This is a long non-coding RNA of Ictalurus punctatus (channel catfish), 625 nucleotides long. NCBI's taxonomy places the organism in Eukaryota, Metazoa, Chordata, Actinopteri, Siluriformes, Ictaluridae. The record is from Ensembl.